UUCUUUCGCCUCUUCUUUCUUUUUCUCGGAUCUUCUUUCUCCCUCUCAGCAAAGAUCUCUGAUUUUUUCUGUCUCCUUUUCGUUCGCUCUCUGGUAAUUUCAUCUUCUCUUUUUGUAAUUUAAUUUGUUCUAUGCUGAUUCAUAUAUCGUUACUGUUACUUGUCUCGCUUUCUUUCUUUUAUUUUCUGUUUUUGAAUGAUUAUCAGCUUGGUUGCUGAGAAAAUAGAGGCUGGAAAUAGGCUUGUCGAACCCCCGUCGUCAGUCGCUGAGCUUAUCCCUUUCCUAGACGUAAUCCCUAAUCCAUCAUUUUACUAUUUUUCCUUAACUUCGUUUUGCUCUUCGUUAAUUUUUUUCCUUAUAAUUUGAUUUGUCUGAUUUUAUUAUGUAUGCGUUUUCGAAAUUUUUAGUGUGAUUCUUUCUGUGCAAUUAAUUUAGUUAGAUUUCACCCAUACUGAUUUUAUUGUCUUAAUUGACAGUGAAGUAUAUUAUCUAAUUGGAUAAAAAGGUUAACUGGGUUCAGCUUAAAAUAUUAGUGUUGGAGUUGUGUCUAAUUUCCCAUAUGAAAAUCACCAAUAGAUUACUAUUAUGAGAAUGGUAAGUUUCUCUUUUAAUUUGUUUGAUGAUUUUUUCUGUUUUAAAGUCAUGUUCUUAUGUACGUUUUGGCAAUGUUGUGCAGGUUGAUGAAGAACCUGCAAUUAGAACAAAUACCACCAUAUUAUUGGGAAACAUUGCAAGCUACCUAAAUGAAGGGGUUAGUUGUUUCUUGGCUAAUCCUUCUUGAAUAUUUGUUUUGAUUCAGUCAAUAGUGAAGGCAUAUCAAACAUUAUUAAGAUGGUUCACAUGGAAUCAAUGACCUUGAAAACUUUUAUGUUACAAUUUGUUUUCUUGUAAGGUGCAUUAAUUUUUAAGCAGCUAGCUUAAAUAGUUAAAUGAUUUAUAAAGGCAUGUCCAGAAUUUUUUUAUAGCCACUUGAUGGAUAAUGUCAGUUCUCUUUUCCCAGGAUGUAAUUUUGGUUUUUGACUGCUAAAAUUCUAACCUUGCAGAUGGGCCAUGAGUUCCUUAACUCUUAAAGGCAAAGCUAAUCAAGCUCCAGGCUUGGCAAAUAUUCAGGCAGCUCAGAAGCGUCCUGUUUCGCAACCAGUUUGACAGCCUAAACCACAAGGUAGUAUUCUGAACAUCCCUACAAUAGAAUAGUAUGAAAUUUUAAUGAAAGUCGUGAAUUUCACAGCCUCUUUGAAUCUUCGGUACUUUUUCACCUUUGGUUUGGGAAGCAAUAUUUGGGAAGAAAACCUCUCAGAAAACAUUCUAAGUUUUUUCUUUUUUUUUUUUGUUAGGCUUCUAAAAUUU
Molecule: long non-coding RNA, 1347 nt
Filed under: Gossypium raimondii (Peruvian cotton)
Lineage: Eukaryota; Viridiplantae; Streptophyta; Magnoliopsida; Malvales; Malvaceae
Description: long non-coding RNA (GRAI_LNC011239)
Source: RNAcentral